UACGGAGGGAGCUAGCGUUGUUCGGAAUUACUGGGCGUAAAGCGCACGUAGGCGGCUUUGUAAGUUAGAGGUGAAAGCCCGGAGCUCAACUCCGGAAUUGCCUUUAAGACUGCAUCGCUUGAAUCCAGGAGAGGUGAGUGGAAUUCCGAGUGUAGAGGUGAAAUUCGUAGAUAUUCGGAAGAACACCAGUGGCGAAGGCGGCUCACUGGACUGGUAUUGACGCUGAGGUGCGAAAGCGUGGGAAGCAAACAGGG
Molecule: ribosomal RNA, 254 nt
Filed under: uncultured bacterium
Lineage: Bacteria
Description: partial 16S ribosomal RNA
Rfam family: Bacterial small subunit ribosomal RNA
Source: RNAcentral